RNAcentral lists this long non-coding RNA (359 nucleotides) under Linum usitatissimum (flax). RNAcentral's name for it is "long non-coding RNA (LUSI_LNC001261)". The record is from RNAcentral. Lineage: Eukaryota; Viridiplantae; Streptophyta; Magnoliopsida; Malpighiales; Linaceae.
ACAGCUGUAUUUGCAGGAGGAGGAGGUGAAAACGCCUUCUUUUCUGCAACACUCUGCUGCAAGUCUACUGCUCCUACUUUAGUGCAACAGGGCUGUGAGGAUUCCUUUGCCACAGUACCCAACAAGCUCUGCUGCUUGUCUGCUGCUUCUGUUUUUGUUGUUGGAAACUGAAGAAAAGAAGAUGGUGGAGCCUGCUGUUGAUUAAACCACACAGAGGAUGAUGAUGCUGCUGCUGGAGAACCUAUUUGUUGUAUCUCGUGAGACGAAACUUUGGGUGCUUGUUGAUGAUGGAGAUAGUGGUAAUGAUGAUUGUUGAAAUAUCCCAGAGAGAGCAGGGACGACUCAUCUCUUCUUUCCCU